RNAcentral lists this ribosomal RNA (460 nucleotides) under uncultured bacterium. Its description in RNAcentral is "partial 16S ribosomal RNA". It matches the Rfam family "Bacterial small subunit ribosomal RNA", at positions 338 to 795 of the family's 1533-position model. The record is from RNAcentral.
CCUACGGGAGGCAGCAGUGAGGAAUAUUGGUCAAUGGACGAGAGUCUGAACCAGCCAAGUAGCGUGAAGGAUGACUGCCCUAUGGGUUGUAAACUUCUUUUAUAAAGGAAUAAAACGAGGCACGUGUGCCUUUUUGCAGGUACUUUAUGAAUAAGGAUCGGCUAAAUCCGUGCCAGCAGCCGCGGUAAUACGGAGGAUCCGAGCGUUAUCCGGAUUUAUUGGGUUUAAAGGGAGCGUAGAGGGGUGGUUAAGUCAGUUGUGAAAGUUUGCGGCUCAACCGUAAAAUUGCAAUUGAUACUGGCAGUCUUGAGUAUAGUUGAGGUAGGCGGAAUUCGUGGUGUAGCGGUGAAAUGCUUAGAUAUCACGAAGAACCCCGAUUGCGAAGGCAGCUUACCAAACUGUGACUGACAUUGAUGCUCGAAAGUGUGGGUAUCAAACAGGAUUAGAUACCCUAGUAGUC